Molecule: ribosomal RNA, 763 nt
Filed under: uncultured Streptococcus sp.
Lineage: Bacteria; Bacillati; Bacillota; Bacilli; Lactobacillales; Streptococcaceae
Description: bacterial SSU rRNA
Rfam family: Bacterial small subunit ribosomal RNA
Source: RNAcentral
GACGAACGCUGGCGGCGUGCCUAAUACAUGCAAGUAGAACGCUGAAGGAGGAGCUUGCUUCUCUGGAUGAGUUGCGAACGGGUGAGUAACGCGUAGGUAACCUGCCUGGUAGCGGGGGAUAACUAUUGGAAACGAUAGCUAAUACCGCAUAAGGGUAGAUGUUGCAUGACAUUUGCUAAAAAGGUGCAAAUGCAUCACUACCAGAUGGACCUGCGUUGUAUUAGCUAGUUGGUGGGGUAACGGCUCACCAAGGCGACGAUACAUAGCCGACCUGAGAGGGUGAUCGGCCACACUGGGACUGAGACACGGCCCAGACUCCUACGGGAGGCAGCAGUAGGGAAUCUUCGGCAAUGGACGGAAGUCUGACCGAGCAACGCCGCGUGAGUGAAGAAGGUUUUCGGAUCGUAAAGCUCUGUUGUAAGAGAAGAACGAGUGUGAGAGUGGAGAGUUCACACUGUGACGGUAUCUUACCAGAAAGGGACGGCUAACUACGUGCCAGCAGCCGCGGUAAUACGUAGGUCCCGAGCGUUGUCCGGAUUUAUUGGGCGUAAAGCGAGCGCAGGCGGUUAGAUAAGUCUGAAGUUAAAGGCUGUGGCUUAACCAUAGUAGGCUUUGGAAACUGUUUAACUUGAGUGCAAGAGGGGAGAGUGGAAUUCCAUGUGUAGCGGUGAAAUGCGUAGAUAUAUGGAGGAACACCGGUGGCGAAAGCGGCUCUCUGGCUUGUAACUGACGCUGAGGCUCGAAAGCGUGGGGAGCAAACAGG